Non-coding RNA from Vicia faba (fava bean), 273 nucleotides. The record is from the annotation of a GenBank genome assembly. Lineage: Eukaryota; Viridiplantae; Streptophyta; Magnoliopsida; Fabales; Fabaceae.
AUGGCCCUCCGCUUCAGUUCAACCCACCUGCAAAUUUCCAAUCUUCACCAAUUUCAGCUAAUCAGAAUCCUCCACAAUUUAAUCAGCAAUUCAAUCCCGAUGCUUAUGAUGGCCGCGAGAGAACAUUUGCUGGACACAGGAGGAGACCAUCCCAUAGAGGUGGUAAAGGUUGGCGACCAUCCAAAUAAAGGUUACUGUGUAAAGUCAUGUACUGAAGAUUUCCUCCUUGGUGGCUUGGUGGACAAAUAUUUUUUCACCAAGGAUGAAUUGUAA